RNAcentral lists this ribosomal RNA (407 nucleotides) under uncultured bacterium. RNAcentral describes it as "bacterial SSU rRNA". It matches the Rfam family "Bacterial small subunit ribosomal RNA", at positions 354 to 776 of the family's 1533-position model. The record is from RNAcentral.
GUGGGGAAUAUUGCACAAUGGGGGAAACCCUGAUGCAGCAACGCCGCGUGGGUGAAGGAGCGUUUCGGCGCGUAAAGCCCUGUCAGCGGGGAAGAAAAAAAGACGGUACCCGACCAAGAAGCCCCGGCUAACUACGUGCCAGCAGCCGCGGUAAUACGUAGGGGGCGAGCGUUAUCCGGAAUUACUGGGUGUAAAGGGAGCGUAGACGGCAGGGUAAGCCUGGAGUGGAAGCCCGCGGCCCAACCGCGGAACUGCUUUGGGAACUGCCCGGCUGGAGUAUGGGAGGGGUAAGCGGAAUUCCUGGUGUAGCGGUGAAAUGCGUAGAUAUCAGGAGGAACACCGGUGGCGAAGGCGGCUUACUGGACCAUAACUGACGUUGAGGCUCGAAAGCGUGGGGAGCGAACAGG